RNAcentral lists this long non-coding RNA (577 nucleotides) under Carica papaya (papaya). RNAcentral describes it as "long non-coding RNA (CPAP_LNC002649)". Lineage: Eukaryota; Viridiplantae; Streptophyta; Magnoliopsida; Brassicales; Caricaceae. The record is from RNAcentral.
UUCCAAAAGCAAUAGUUCGGAUUGGUGACAUCUAUGGCCGAUUGAAAAUUUUUCACCAAAGUUAAAGCACAGACCUUGUGCUCGUCGGUGUUGCAUUUCCUCCUAUGAUAACUGCUUUGGAGCAGCAACUGUCACUGCCAGGGCUUGUAGAGGCUGAUCGAAUAGGAAGGAUGCCUGCUUGUCAGGUUGAGUUUACCUCGCAUAGUUCAACCUACUUUGAUGGUCCAAUUGCUCCUCUCGCAUGCAGGCCAGACCGAUGGUUUCCUUCAAAGUCUUGGGCCUAAACAUUCAAAUCUCGUCCAUGAGUUCAAGCUCUAGCUCACUAAUGAAGGCCUUAGUUAGUAACUUUUGGGUCCAUCCAUGGACUCGGUUGCCCAAGCGCUCAAUCUCUUUGGUAAUAACGUAAUGGGUCAGUUUGCUUGAUGCGGGACAGGGCUUUGUUAAAGUCUUUAUAUUCUUUUGACCCAAACCUAGCCCACAAUACUUCUUCAAUUAUGGCCCAACUUAUCUCGCAACCCUCUUCACGGAAGGUCUUGCUCAGCCACUACCACCAACAAUUGGCUUCUCUUUCAAGGUG